GAUGAACGCUGGCGGCGUGCCUAAUACAUGCAAGUCGAGCGAACAGACGAGGAGCUUGCUCCUCUGACGUUAGCGGCGGACGGGUGGGUAACACGUGGAUAACCUACCUAUAAGACUGGGAUAACUUCGGGAAACCGGAGCUAAUACCGGAUAAUAUAUUGAACCGCAUGGUUCAAUAGUGAAAGACGGUUUUGCUGUCACUUAUAGAUGGAUCCGCGCCGCAUUAGCUAGUUGGUAAGGUAACGGCUUACCAAGGCAACGAUGCGUAGCCGACCUGAGAGGGUGAUCGGCCCCACUGGACCUGAGACACGGUCCAGACUCCUACGGGAGGCAGCAGUAGGGAAUCUUCCGCAAUGGGCGAAAGCCUGACGGAGCAACGCCGCGUGAGUGAUGAAGGUCUUCGGUUCGUAAAACUCUGUUAUUAGGGAAGAACAAAUGUGUAAGUAACUAUGCACGUCUUGACGGUACCUAAUCAGAAAGCCACGGCUAACUCCGU
This 496-nucleotide ribosomal RNA is filed under the name uncultured bacterium. RNAcentral describes it as "partial 16S ribosomal RNA". It matches the Rfam family "Bacterial small subunit ribosomal RNA", at positions 28 to 506 of the family's 1533-position model. The record is from RNAcentral.